This 492-nucleotide ribosomal RNA is filed under the name uncultured bacterium. Its description in RNAcentral is "partial 16S ribosomal RNA". It matches the Rfam family "Bacterial small subunit ribosomal RNA", at positions 29 to 507 of the family's 1533-position model. The record is from RNAcentral.
AGUGAACGCUGGCGGUAGGCCUAACACAUGCAAGUCGAACGGCAGCACAGUAAGAGCUUGCUCUUACGGGUGGCGAGUGGCGGACGGGUGAGGAAUACAUCGGAAUCUACUUUUUCGUGGGGGAUAACGUAGGGAAACUUACGCUAAUACCGCAUACGACCUACGGGUGAAAGCAGGGGAUCUUCGGACCUUGCGCGAUUGAAUGAGCCGAUGUCGGAUUAGCUAGUUGGCGGGGUAAAGGCCCACCAAGGCGACGAUCCGUAGCUGGUCUGAGAGGAGGAUCGGCCACACGGGAACUGAGACACAGUCCAGACUCCUACGGGAGGCAGCAGUGGGGAAUGUUGGACAAUGGGGGCAAGCCUGAUCCAGCCAUACCGCGUGGGUGAAGAAGGCCUUCGGGUUGGAAAGCCCUUUUGUUGGGAGAGAAAAGCAGCAGGUUAAUACCCCGCUGUUCUGACGGUACCCAAAGAAUAAGCACCGGCUAACUUCGUG